GGGUUGUGAGGUUAAGCGACUAAGCGUACACGGUGGAUGCCCUGGCAGUCAGAGGCGAUGAAGGACGUGCUAAUCUGCGAAAAGCGUCGGUAAGGUGAUAUGAACCGUUAUAACCGGCGAUGUCCGAAUGGGGAAACCCAGUGCAAUUCGUUGCACUAUCGUUAACUGAAUACAUAGGUUAACGAGGCGAACCGGGGGAACUGAAACAUCUAAGUACCCCGAGGAAAAGAAAUCAACCGAGAUUCCCCCAGUAGCGGCGAGCGAACGGGGAGCAGCCCAGAGUCUGAAUCAGCUUGUGUGUUAGUGGAACGGUCUGGAAAGUCCGACGGUACAGGGUGAUAGUCCCGUACACCAAAAUGCACAGGCUGUGAACUCGAAGAGUAGGGCGGGACACGUGGUAUCCUGUCUGAAUAUGGGGGGACCAUCCUCCAAGGCUAAAUACUCCUGACUGACCGAUAGUGAACCAGUACCGUGAGGGAAAGGCGAAAAGAACCCCGGCGAGGGGAGUGAAAAAGAACCUGAAACCGUGUACGUACAAGCAGUGGGAGCACCUUCGGGUGUGACUGCGUACCUUUUGUAUAAUGGGUCAGCGACUUAUAUUCUGUAGCAAGGUUAACCGUAUAGGGGAGCCGCAGGGAAACCGAGUCUUAACUGGGCGUUAAGUUGCAGGGUAUAGACCCGAAACCCGGUGAUCUAGCCAUGGGCAGGUUGAAGGUUGGGUAACACUAACUGGAGGACCGAACCGACUAAUGUUGAAAAAUUAGCGGAUGACUUGUGGCUGGGGGUGAAAGGCCAAUCAAACCGGGAGAUAGCUGGUUCUCCCCGAAAGCUAUUUAGGUAGCGCCUCGUGAAUUCAUCUUCGGGGGUAGAGCACUGUUUCGGCUAGGGGGUCAUCCCGACUUACCAACCCGAUGCAAACUACGAAUACCGAAGAAUGUUAUCACGGGAGACACACGGCGGGUGCUAACGUCCGUCGUGAAGAGGGAAACAACCCAGACCGCCAGCUAAGGUCCCAAAGUCAUGGUUAAGUGGGAAACGAUGUGGGAAGGCACAGACAGCCAGGAUGUUGGCUUAGAAGCAGCCAUCAUUUAAAGAAAGCGUAAUAGCUCACUGGUCGAGUCGGCCUGCGCGGAAGAUGUAACGGGGCUAAACCAUGCACCGAAGCUGCGGCAGCGACACUAUGUGUUGUUGGGUAGGGGAGCGUUCUGUAAGCCUGCGAAGGUGUGCUGUGAGGCAUGCUGGAGGUAUCAGAAGUGCGAAUGCUGACAUAAGUAACGAUAAAGCGGGUGAAAAGCCCGCUCGCCGGAAGACCAAGGGUUCCUGUCCAACGUUAAUCGGGGCAGGGUGAGUCGACCCCUAAGGCGAGGCCGAAAGGCGUAGUCGAUGGGAAACAGGUUAAUAUUCCUGUACUUGGUGUUACUGCGAAGGGGGACGGAGAAGGCUAUGUUAGCCGGGCGACGGUUGUCCCGGUUUAAGCAUGUAGGCUGGUUAUCCAGGCAAAUCCGGAUAAUCAAGGCUGAGGUGUGAUGACGAGGCACUACGGUGCUGAAGUAACAAAUGCCCUGCUUCCAGGAAAAGCCUCUAAGCAUCAGGUAACAUCAAAUCGUACCCCAAACCGACACAGGUGGUCAGGUAGAGAAUACCAAGGCGCUUGAGAGAACUCGGGUGAAGGAACUAGGCAAAAUGGUGCCGUAACUUCGGGAGAAGGCACGCUGGUGUGUAGGUGAAGUCCCUGCGGAUGGAGCUGAGACCAGUCGAAGAUACCAGCUGGCUGCAACUGUUUAUUAAAAACACAGCACUGUGCAAACACGAAAGUGGACGUAUACGGUGUGACGCCUGCCCGGUGCCGGAAGGUUAAUUGAUGGGGUUAUCCGUAAGGAGAAGCUCUUGAUCGAAGCCCCGGUAAACGGCGGCCGUAACUAUAACGGUCCUAAGGUAGCGAAAUUCCUUGUCGGGUAAGUUCCGACCUGCACGAAUGGCGUAAUGAUGGCCAGGCUGUCUCCACCCGAGACUCAGUGAAAUUGAACUCGCUGUGAAGAUGCAGUGUACCCGCGGCAAGACGGAAAGACCCCGUGAACCUUUACUAUAGCUUGACACUGAACAUUGAGCCUUGAUGUGUAGGAUAGGUGGGAGGCUUUGAAGCGUGGACGCCAGUCUGCGUGGAGCCAACCUUGAAAUACCACCCUUUAAUGUUUGAUGUUCUAACGUUGGCCCCUUACCGGGGUUGCGGACAGUGUCUGGUGGGUAGUUUGACUGGGGCGGUCUCCUCCCAAAGCGUAACGGAGGAGCACGAAGGUUAGCUAAUCCUGGUCGGACAUCAGGAGGUUAGUGCAAUGGCAUAAGCUAGCUUGACUGCGAGCGUGACGGCGCGAGCAGGUGCGAAAGCAGGUCAUAGUGAUCCGGUGGUUCUGAAUGGAAGGGCCAUCGCUCAACGGAUAAAAGGUACUCCGGGGAUAACAGGCUGAUACCGCCCAAGAGUUCAUAUCGACGGCGGUGUUUGGCACCUCGAUGUCGGCUCAUCACAUCCUGGGGCUGAAGUAGGUCCCAAGGGUAUGGCUGUUCGCCAUUUAAAGUGGUACGCGAGCUGGGUUUAGAACGUCGUGAGACAGUUCGGUCCCUAUCUGCCGUGGGCGCUGGAGAAUUGAGGGGGGCUGCUCCUAGUACGAGAGGACCGGAGUGGACGCAUCACUGGUGUUCGGGUUGUCAUGCCAAUGGCACUGCCCGGUAGCUAAAUGCGGAAGAGAUAAGUGCUGAAAGCAUCUAAGCACGAAACUUGCCCCGAGAUGAGUUCUCCCUGAGACUUUAAGUCUCCUGAAGGAACGUUAAAGACGAUGACGUUGAUAGGCCGGGUGUGUAAGCGCAGCGAUGCGUUGAGCUAACCGGUACUAAUGAACCGUGAGGCUUAACCUUACAACGCCGAAG
This 2922-nucleotide ribosomal RNA is filed under the name Klebsiella pneumoniae. RNAcentral describes it as "23S ribosomal RNA". It matches the Rfam family "Bacterial large subunit ribosomal RNA". The record is from RNAcentral. Lineage: Bacteria; Pseudomonadati; Pseudomonadota; Gammaproteobacteria; Enterobacterales; Enterobacteriaceae.